CCAUAGCUAUCGGCCACUCUCAAAAAAUAUUCUACCGCCGCCAACAAGCCCUGAAAGAGGCUUCCUUGCCGUCAGCCAGCCGUUGUCCAGCCUCUAUCGAUUCUUGUUCUGCUAUUGAUCAUCUUUGUUCUAUUUUUUUCUGCUGCAACAGAUCUUGGUUCAGUAAUAUUUUUUGAUCUAAGAUGGUGAAGAUAGUGAUGACGAGAUCAAUU
Molecule: long non-coding RNA, 212 nt
Filed under: Elaeis guineensis (African oil palm)
Lineage: Eukaryota; Viridiplantae; Streptophyta; Magnoliopsida; Arecales; Arecaceae
Description: long non-coding RNA (EGUI_LNC028217)
Source: RNAcentral